AAGACUAUAGACCUGCGGAGUACCUGCGGAGGGAUCAUUACAGAGAACUUGCCCUUCGGGGUAAUCUCCCACCCUUUGUUUACAAUACCAUGUUGCUUUGGCAGGCCCGUCUUCUUGACCACUGGCCUUGGCUGGUCCGUGCCUGCCAGAGGAUUAAAAACCCUACUUUUUUGUGUUUCUGAGUUUAGUUUCAAUAGUUAAAACUUUCAACAACGGAUCUCUAGAUCGGAAGAGCACACG
RNAcentral lists this unclassified non-coding RNA (240 nucleotides) under soil metagenome. Its description in RNAcentral is "partial contains 5.8S ribosomal RNA, internal transcribed spacer 2, and large subunit ribosomal RNA". The record is from RNAcentral.